UUCUGAUAUACAGAUCUACUGCAAGAGAAUGGCUGUAAACCCUUUCAUAACAGAUGGAUGGAUUUUGGGAGCUGCCACCAGAAGCCAGCAAGUAACCCAAGUGGAUGCUUCUAAGUUUUAGCACUAUGGAACCUUGGGGUAUGAUGGUUUUCACUGGAACAUAGAGGCAUUUUCUGGAGGGUGGAAAACACAAAUCAGCAUAGCCAGCUCCUCCCUAUGGUCACCCUACCUUCAGCAGAAGCCUCUCAAGCCC
Molecule: long non-coding RNA, 253 nt
Organism: Trachemys scripta elegans
Lineage: Eukaryota; Metazoa; Chordata; Testudines; Emydidae
Exons: 3
Source: RefSeq, a predicted model, not a curated record